GUACAUCACCACCAAGGCAGGUGAAAGAAAAAUAUGCCAGAGGAAUUGUGGCUUUGUUCCCGUACCUCAGUGACCCCUUUUCCAAAAAUGGCUACGAACAUUAUUAUGAUGGUGAAAGCGGUACUGGGUACUUGGCAUGGAGAGUCAAAACUAUACAGAGAGGCUUCGCUAAAGAACGACGUGCAUCAUUUGAAGGACAAGGAACGUCUGCUGAAGUGGGAUCUGGAGGACCAACUGUAAGACGGCAGUCAGAGUUUAAUCCAGA
Molecule: long non-coding RNA, 265 nt
Organism: Onychostoma macrolepis
Lineage: Eukaryota; Metazoa; Chordata; Actinopteri; Cypriniformes; Cyprinidae
Exons: 3
Source: RefSeq, a predicted model, not a curated record